RNAcentral lists this transfer RNA (83 nucleotides) under Astyanax mexicanus (Mexican tetra). It matches the Rfam family "tRNA". Rfam says of the family: Transfer RNA (tRNA) molecules are approximately 80 nucleotides in length. Their secondary structure includes four short double-helical elements and three loops (D, anti-codon, and T loops). The record is from Rfam by way of RNAcentral. Lineage: Eukaryota; Metazoa; Chordata; Actinopteri; Characiformes; Acestrorhamphidae.
GCUGUGAUGGCCGAGAGGUUAAGGCGUUGGACUUGAAAUCCAAUGGGGUUUUCCCCGCGCAGGUUCAAAUCCUGCUCACAGCG